RNAcentral lists this ribosomal RNA (468 nucleotides) under uncultured bacterium. RNAcentral describes it as "partial 16S ribosomal RNA". It matches the Rfam family "Bacterial small subunit ribosomal RNA", at positions 28 to 507 of the family's 1533-position model. The record is from RNAcentral.
GACGAACGCUGGCGGCGUGCUUAACACAUGCAGGUCGAACGGAAAGGCCCUGCUUUUGUGGGGUGCUCGAGUGGCGAACGGGUGAGUAACACGUGAGUAACCUGCCCUUGACUUUGGGAUAACUUCACGAAACUGGGGCUAAUACCGGAUAGGAGCUCCUGCUGCAUGGUGGGGGUUGGAAAGUUUCGGCGGUUGGGGAUGGACUCGCGGCUUAUCAGCUUGGUGGUGGGGUAGUGGCUUACCAAGGCUUUGACGGGUAGCCGGCCUGAGAGGGUGACCGGCCACAUUGGGACUGAGAUACGGCACAGACUCCUACGGGGGGGAGGAGUGGGGAAUAUUGCACAAUGGGCGGAAGCCUGAUGGAGCAACGCCGCGUGCGGGAUGACGGCCUGCGGGGUGUAAACCGCUUGCGCCUGUGACGAAGCGUGUGUGACGGUAAUGGGUAAAGAAGCACCGGCUAACUACGUG